UCUUGGUCUUCAAUUCUCUUAUCAGAAUGCUAAUUCUGCCCCUCUAGUUAGAAUAUUAUUGGAUGCUGAGUGAAGAUGGAGGGAAAAUUAGAGAUGAUCAGUUACACUUCAGUUCUAUCAUCUGUUAACAUUGCACCACUCAUCCAAAGAGUGGAUGAUGGCCAGGUAUGAAGAGGAAAUGGAUCUCAUUUUUGAGUGGUGAAUCUGGCUGGUGAUUUUCCUGUGAGCAGUCCUGGGCACCAGUUCAAUCCUGGAACUCAGCCUGAAGGAGCUCCCUCAGACAGCUUCCUUGAGACGAUCACAUGGUGAGUGAUGAGACUGAUUUCCCUUUCCUUU
RNAcentral lists this long non-coding RNA (336 nucleotides) under Monodelphis domestica (gray short-tailed opossum). Its description in RNAcentral is "lncRNA (ENSMODG00000048577.1)". Lineage: Eukaryota; Metazoa; Chordata; Mammalia; Didelphimorphia; Didelphidae. The record is from RNAcentral.